UGGGGGAUAUUGCACAAUGGGCGAAAGCCUGAUGCAGCGACGCUGCGUGGGGGAUGAAGGCCUUCGGGCUGUAAACUUCUUUUGCUCUGAACAAGGCAUGCCAAUGGGUGUGUCGAGUGUAGGGGUUGAUUAGCGCCGGCUAACUACGUGCCAGCAGCCGCGGUAACACGUAGGGCGCGAGCGUUGUCCGGAAUUAUUGGGGGUAAAGGGCUUGUAGGUGGCUGGUUGCGUCUGUCGUGAAAGCUCAUGGCUUAACUGUGGGUUUGCGGUGGGUACGGGCUGGCUUGAGUGCAGUAGGAGAGGCUGGAAUUCCUAGUGUAGCGGUGGAAUGCGCAGAUAUCAGGAGGAAUACCGGUGGCGAAGGAGGGUCUCUGGGCUGUUACUGACACUGAGGAGCGAAAGCAUGGGGAGCGAACGGG
RNAcentral lists this ribosomal RNA (419 nucleotides) under bacterium. RNAcentral describes it as "partial 16S ribosomal RNA". It matches the Rfam family "Bacterial small subunit ribosomal RNA", at positions 355 to 776 of the family's 1533-position model. The record is from RNAcentral.